This 2206-nucleotide long non-coding RNA is filed under the name Medicago truncatula (barrel medic). RNAcentral describes it as "long non-coding RNA (MTRU_LNC002615)". Lineage: Eukaryota; Viridiplantae; Streptophyta; Magnoliopsida; Fabales; Fabaceae. The record is from RNAcentral.
UCCCAUUUUUCCACAUCUUAAAAGUUUGUUAUCACUCUAAUCAAAUUCUUCUAUUCGGCUUCCAAGCUGACUUCUGGCCACAGAUCUCAAUUGAAUAAAAUAAAACAGAGUCACAAAGUCUACAGAAGGAGAAACGAGACAUCUGGAAACAUAGGAUAUGAUACAGUAAAUAAAUUAGUAAUUAAUUAAAUAAACAAAGGGAGAGAGACAUAGACACAUAGUAUGGGAAACUGGGCUCUCUUUAUUUAUUUAUGUUUUCAUUUUGUCUUUACGGGGAAAUUAUGGUACUAAUGUUCCGUGUUGCAUAAAGUUGACCCAAUGGUUCAACUAAAUUCCACUCUAUAAUAAUACAUCAUGCUACUAUAAAUUGGCAACAAUAUGAUGCUCAAAAUAUAUAAUACAUACAUCAUGCUAUCCAGUGAUGAAAUGUAAGUGUGGUUUGCUAUCUAUAUACAGCAGGGGAUGCACUUGCAUCCCCUGGGCUUUUAAAAUUUGCACAUGAUUGCACUGUUUUAUUAGUGCUUAAACCUCCUGAUAUUUUAAGGAUGAACCUCCUCAUAUUUUAACAUUGCAAUUGAGCCAAACAUUUUGCACCAAUAAUCCAAGUUUCUCUCACCCUAUGAAUGACACGAGUCUCACUUUUAUGUUAGCACAACAGUAUUUGCCUCAACUAGAGAUAAUUGACUUCCUUUUUUAUAUAACUCUAUUUUUUAAAAACCCAACUCUCUAUUUGGUUUUUCCUAUUACAUUUGUUUUCUUUUAUUUUCUUAUUAAUAAUUGUAAUUGUAAUAAUUGAAUUCCUUCUAAAGUAAAAAUGAAGUGCUUGAAGAUAGAACACAAAUCCUAAAAGUCUUUUAAGAAGCUUUUACCACUAAAUCAAGUAUGUCGCAGAGUUUAAUUCUUGCAAAUAUAAUAUAUAUUACUAAAUAUUUUAUAUUCUUUCAUAACUUAAUACUCCCACCAUCCUAAAUUUUAACACGAAAAGUUCACUUUCUUUGUCCCAAAUUUAUAAAUAAAAUUGACAAAUGUUUACCCUAUUUAAUCAAGUUGGUUUCAAAUGUCAUCUUUUCCAAAUAAAAUAAAAUAAAUCUUACUUAUUCUCAAUUUUCAUGAACUCAAAUGCAAGGUGUACCCAAAUUACUCUCCCUCACAUUUUUUUUCUGUAACCAAUAACUUAUGUAAUUUUUUUUUUUGAACAAGAAUAACUUAUGUAAAUUAUUUUUACUUCUUUCCAUGAAACAUAUUUCAACACAAAAUGUUAUACACCAAAUUAUUAUGCUUUAGAAUUAUAAAUUUAUAAUUUACACAAAUUCUAACUUUCAUUUGAUAGAUUUUGAAAUUUAUAAUUUAUACAAAAUGUGGAAAAUAUAAAAAAUAAUAAUUAAACAUUUAUGCAAAAAAAAAUAGAUAUUUGAUUGAAAAAAAAUGACGAAAAUUAUAAAUUUAGUAGUAUAAAUAAAUGAUAAUUAAAAGAAAAAAAAUAACUGCACAAAACUUUCAUAGCUCUAGUAAAGUUGAAAGGUCCGAACCCCCUAUUCCAGGAUCCUGGCUACGCCACUGUAUAUACAUCAUGCUAUAGAUGGUAUUCCAGUUUUACCUAUCAAUUGUUCUUUUUCGGCAACAAGGAAAUCAAUAUUGAUUUUCUUCGUAAUAAAGUUAAAAUUCAUGUUUGAUGAUACCUUGAUUUUUGGUUUUCUUUUGUGUAGAAAGUGUUUUAUCCUAGACUAGUUUAUUUAUUUAUUUUGACAAAUCCUAGACUAAUUUAUUGUUGAUUCAUAUUAGACUCUUGUUGUAAUUUUCCUCUCUAUAUUGUCCACACCUCGUGCUCGUGGCAUAUAGAUGGUAUUCCAGUUUUACCUAUCAAUUGGAUUAAUAAACUAUUGAAGAGGUAAGGAUAAGUAAGGAAGAUGAGAGAAAAACAAAAGAGAUCUGAGGUAAGAGAAAGAGAGAAGGAGGUGAAGACAAAUAUGGACGAAAAUAAGUUAUUUAAUUGCCAACCAACAAUAAAGGUAGAAUUGAUUUGGAGUUCAAUUUGAAAGCUAGAAUUUGAAGUUUUUCUUAUAAUUGAUUUUGGAGGCUUAGUGUGUGUUUGAUUGUGUGUAGAGAGAAUUAAUUUUGAUAUAAUUUAUUAUGUAUAAUUAAUUUUGAUUAAAUGUGAUUGUGACUAAAAGGGUUUGUAUUUGCAUACAUUUAUGUUAUAGUGAGU